Molecule: ribosomal RNA, 401 nt
Filed under: uncultured eukaryote
Lineage: Eukaryota
Description: SSU rRNA
Rfam family: Eukaryotic small subunit ribosomal RNA
Source: RNAcentral
CCAGCAGCUGCGGUAAUUCCGGCUCCAAUAGCGUAUAUUAAAGUUGUUGCAGUUAAAAAGCUCGUAGUUGGAUUUGUGGCGUACGGUGUGUUCCGGGCACUUGUUGUCUGAGUAACCUGCUGUUGCCAUCCUUGGGUGGAACCUGUGUGGCAUUAGGUUGUCGUGCAGGGGAUGCCCAUCAUUUACUGUGAAAAAAUUAGAGUGUUCAAAGCAGGCUUAUGCCGUUGAAUAUAUUAGCAUGGAAUAAUGAGAUAGGACUUUUUUGCUAUUUUGUUGGUUUGCGCAAAGAGGUAAUGAUUAAUAGGGACAGUUGGGGGUAUUCGUAUUCCAUUGUCAGAGGUGAAAUUCUUGGAUUUUUGGAAGACGAACUACUGCGAAAGCAUUUACCAAGGAUGUUUUCA